RNAcentral lists this small nucleolar RNA (77 nucleotides) under Pollicipes pollicipes. Lineage: Eukaryota; Metazoa; Arthropoda; Thecostraca; Pollicipedomorpha; Pollicipedidae. The record is from RNAcentral.
UGGCUAUGAUGGGAUGAAUUUCUUCACCCGACGACCUCGUGGGGAACAAAAUAACGAGCUUUUUAACACUGAGCACA